GCGGGCGUCGUCUAAUGGUAGGGCCCAAGCUUCCCAAGCUUGAGGCGGGGGUUCGAUUCCCCUCGCCCGCUCCA
RNAcentral lists this transfer RNA (74 nucleotides) under Magnetococcales bacterium. RNAcentral's name for it is "tRNA-Gly". It matches the Rfam family "tRNA". From Rfam's summary of the family: Transfer RNA (tRNA) molecules are approximately 80 nucleotides in length. Their secondary structure includes four short double-helical elements and three loops (D, anti-codon, and T loops). Further hydrogen bonds mediate the characteristic L-shaped molecular structure. tRNAs have two regions of fundamental functional importance: the anti-codon, which is responsible for specific mRNA codon recognition, and the 3' end, to which the tRNAs corresponding amino acid is attached (by aminoacyl-tRNA synthetases). tRNAs cope with the degeneracy of the genetic code in two manners: having more than one tRNA (with a specific anti-codon) for a particular amino acid; and 'wobble' base-pairing, i.e. permitting non-standard base-pairing at the 3rd anti-codon position. The record is from RNAcentral. Lineage: Bacteria; Pseudomonadati; Pseudomonadota; Magnetococcia; Magnetococcales.